Molecule: ribosomal RNA, 76 nt
Filed under: Vincetoxicum rossicum
Lineage: Eukaryota; Viridiplantae; Streptophyta; Magnoliopsida; Gentianales; Apocynaceae
Description: partial 28S ribosomal RNA
Source: RNAcentral
AUCGCAACGAUUGCGACCCCAGGUCAGGCGGGGCUACCCGCUGAGUUUAAGCAUAGCAAUAAGCGGAGGAAAGGGC